Phyllostomus discolor (pale spear-nosed bat) is the source of this 471-nucleotide non-coding RNA. The record is from the annotation of a RefSeq genome assembly. Lineage: Eukaryota; Metazoa; Chordata; Mammalia; Chiroptera; Phyllostomidae.
GUCUGUGCCCUGAGAGUAUCACCCACAUCUACACUCUACCCUUAAGAAGUCCUGACUGCACAGCCCCUCACCAUGGACUGGAGCUGGAAAGCCCUCUUCCUGGUGGCAGUGGCUACAGGUGUCCACUCCCAGGUGCAGCUGGUGCAGUCUGGGGCUGAGGUGAGGAAGUCUGGGGCCUCAGUGAAGGUCUCCUGCAAGGCUUCUGGAUACACCUUCACCAGCAACUAUAUGAGCUGGGUGUGGCAGGCCCCAGGUCAAGGCCUUGAGUGGAUGGGGAGAAUUUACCCUAACAGUGGUAGCACAAACUAUGCACAGAAGUUACAGGGCAGACUCACCAUAACUGCAGACAAGUCCACGAACACAGCCUUCAUGGAGCUGAGCAGCCUGACAGCUGAGGACACGGCCAUGUAUUACUGUGCGAGAGACACAGUGAGGGGAAGUCAGCGUGAGCCCAGACGCAAACCUCCUUAG